AUACGGAGGGUGCAAGCGUCAAUCGGAAUUACUGGGCGUAAAGCGUACGUAGGCGGUUCGUUAAGUUAGAUGUGAAAGCCCCGGGCUUAACCUGGGAACUGCAUUUAAAACUGGCGGACUAGAGUUGAGUAGAGGGGAGUGGAAUUUCAGGUGUAGCGGUGAAAUGCGUAGAGAUCUGAAGGAACACCAGUGGCGAAGGCGACUCCCUGGACUCGAACUGACGCUGAGGUACGAAAGCGUGGGUAGCAAACGGGAUUAGAUACCCUAGUAGUCC
This 274-nucleotide ribosomal RNA is filed under the name uncultured bacterium. Its description in RNAcentral is "partial 16S ribosomal RNA". It matches the Rfam family "Bacterial small subunit ribosomal RNA", at positions 523 to 796 of the family's 1533-position model. The record is from RNAcentral.